AGUCUGCAGAGGUUUACAGCCUGUUCCACGAUCUCGAAAGAAAAUUUGUGCGAACGAAGGCUACUCACUCACUUUCGUAUAAGAAUGCGUUCCACUAACUUUCGUUCUUUCUUUCGCAUAGCCUUACGUGAUUCAGUGUUGCUAAAUAUUUUUUUGGAAAAAUUAAUCGCGAAAUAAAGCAAAAAAAGCGUCAAAUGUCUAAUUUAAACGCGAAAAAGCAGCAGUGGCUCUGUCUCAACUGACAUUUCAGUUGUAAACAAACAAAUUAAAAUAAAAAAAAGAAUAUUUCCGUAGCCCUAUUUUUUAUGGAGGAGGUUCGAAAUGUGCCACGGAGGCAUUUAAGAGAUGCUUCGAAUUUAUUUGAAGUACCUAACAACCAGUUUGUGGCCAACUUUCGUGUGUCGAAGGAAGUUUUCGGGCUCUUUUGGAUAUGAUGGAAGAGAAGUGGGUGCCCGGUUGCAGAACUACCAAAUCCGCCCCGAUUUAAAACUUCUUCUGCUGCUUCCAAAAAUUGGCAUUCCUCUGGCGAACACAGGAUUCUCCUCCAUUUACUCAACUAGUGCCCGCAGCUGUGUAGUUGAUGAUUUUUUCGUGCUGGAAUUGAGAAAAUAAAAAAAAUAUAUAUUUGUUGUUCACAUAUUAAA
Molecule: long non-coding RNA, 644 nt
Organism: Musca domestica (house fly)
Lineage: Eukaryota; Metazoa; Arthropoda; Insecta; Diptera; Muscidae
Exons: 3
Source: RefSeq, a predicted model, not a curated record